AGAAACAUGCAGUUUGGGCCAUUUUUAUUUUUAUAACCAAAUUGAGUGGCGAAAUAAAUACUUUGGCUUCUUUUAUUCCUGAAGUUACAAAGACCAAGAAACUAAGGUAAGAAGUUACCCUCCCCUCGAUGCCCAAAGAAAUAAAAUUUAAAAGAGGGGUAAGAGGAAAGGCAGCUAUUGUAAUGAUAACAUUAGGGCUAGAAAAUUAGCUAAUACAGAUGUCUUCAGUAUAUCAUGAAAUAAAAGUUUGUACAUGGGUAACAAAAUUCAGAACAGCGAACUUCUUACCUGGACAGCAAAGUUAGCUUCCUGUCAGCUCCUGGUAGUUUAGGAGUUGUAGCUACAGAGCCACUCUUUCGGAUGUCCUCCUGCUCCUGGCACAUGGUUUGAUAAAACAGAAGUCAUGAAUUCCCUUCAGUUCCACUCAAGGAUGUGCCACAUUUCUCCAGAAGCAAACCACUCCUGCCACAUCUAUGUGCACUCACUUUUGGACCCUGUUAAGAAUAUUUUGACACAUGUGUACCCUAACAGUGGCUUUGGUUUUUUAAGCACAAAGGGGGAAUGGCAGGGUUUAACUUCUUUAGUGUGUAUAUGUAUAUAUAAAUAGGUGUUUCAAAUAAAAUUAAUUGGGUGAAUGUGAAUAAGUUUGAACCAGCAAGAGUAUAAUAAACUAUCAUUAAAUUUUUUUCUUCUAAAAACUAUAUGUACAGACCACACACACACACACACACACACACACACACACACACACACACACUUUUGGUUUUGUGUAAGUGUGUGGAGGGCCCCUUCUGUUGUCAGAUACACUGAUCGUGUUAGCAGGAAUGUAUGAAGUUACUUCAUAUUGUCACUGCCCCCUCUUUUAAGUAACAUAGAUACACUGUGUCAAGAUUAGGGAGAACAUUAAAAAGAAAAGAAAAGAAAAGAAAACCAGGAGAUGAGUUUCAGAUAAAAAAACAUUUUAAAAGUUGCAACGAAAUCUCUAAUCUGAGUAAUUACCUGUUUUAAGGAAAGGGCCAAUAAAUUUGGGGGUUUUAUUUUUCCUUUAUCAAAACCAGUUUUUGCUAAUACCUUUUGCAGUCUGAUCCUAACAUCAAACAGGCCUGUAUCACAUCCCGUUUACCAUCCCAAGCCCUACAAAUGUAGUUAACACACUUGUUUAAGAGCAAUUCAGCUCUUAAUUGCUUUCACCCUACCUAUGUAACGAGUUGGUUGUCCAGUGUUGAAAUGGUCGAUGUCUGUGUUUGGCGACUUCUGUUCAUUCUUCUCACUGUGGAAGUGGUCAGCUCUAGAGUAAUUUGCUGUAUGCUUAUUAUUUUCCACCUUUAGCGUUUUGUGUACCAAUGCUAUGUAUUCCUAUAUUUAUAUAUAUACAUAUAUUAUCAGAAUAAUCUUGCUUUGGACUGUUGUUCUCAAACUAUGACUAUGAUGUAGAGAUGACUACAGCUGCUGAGAAUGUGGCGGAAUCAACUCCCACGGCGUAGGUUAAUCUUGGGCUGGAAGUCUACAUCUUUCAACCUCCUCUGUUUUAUAUGAUGCUUUUUAUUCUGUAGGCACUGCCAUCCUGAAUAUUCCUUGUAAAGAUGCAGUCAAUUUCAAAGGAAGACAAAGCCACUGCUGUCUGUACACUGUAAAUAUGUACUUUGGCACUUGUACUCCAGUAUUCUGAAAGCCGAGCUAUGAUGGAAAUGCUGACAGAUCUUUGAUGGUGGCCGAUGCUACCCUGCAGUGCAAAAAUAAAUUAAGUAAAAGUGUAUUCUGAGAUUAGCAGUGCAAGGCCAACAUGUUUUACAAAUCUGUCAGUAUCUUUCUAAUGGAGUGUGUAUGUGUAGUUGUGUUGAAAGAUACACUGUGUAUGUGUGUACAUGCUUUUAUGUGAACUACAAGACACACAGAAGAUGUAUUUCCCAUCUCUAAAUCCCAUGUUGAAAUGUUAAGUGCAGAUGGACAGAAUUAGGUGUUUUACUUAAAUUCAUACCCAAUCUAUUGUGACUCCUUUUUUUUUUAUCUUUACAAAAUAUAAUCUUACAGAUUUGUUUGCUCUGUCUAGCAUCGCAUAAAGGACAGUAAGCCUUUCCUUGUAAAAAGUUGCUGUUUCUAAAGAAGAAUGGAGAGAUUGGAGGCUCCCAGAGAAUGGACCAUGUUCCCCAAACAGCCACAAUGCAGGUGCCUUUGGAUACCCAGUUCCUAAGCCUAUUUCCUGUGUCUGGAAGCCAGAACAUAGUUUAAGUUCUAUAAUGACUAAUCAAGAAAUAGCAGACACGGUCUUAGAAUAAAUUGAAUUAUUAAUGCAUAGUUUUUUUUUUUUUUUACCAUUUUCACUAUUCUGUUAGAAGCUACUUUUUAUAAACCAAACUAUACUAAAGGUAGACAAAGUCAGUUCACAAAUUCUAGCAUUUAUUUAGCAUGAAGAAUCUACUCUUGUUAGACCAGAGGGACACAACUCCAAGACAGAAUAUAAUGCAGUGUUUGACAAAUAACCAAGGAACUGCAUGUGAUAGUCUCCUUAGAAGCAAAAAAAAAAAAAAA
RNAcentral lists this long non-coding RNA (2529 nucleotides) under Rattus norvegicus (Norway rat). Its description in RNAcentral is "long non-coding RNA NONRATT023371". The record is from RNAcentral. Lineage: Eukaryota; Metazoa; Chordata; Mammalia; Rodentia; Muridae.